AGAGUUUGAUCAUGGCUCAGGAUGAACGCUGGCGGCGUGCUUAACACAUGCAAGUCGAACGAACCUUCGGGUUAGUGGCGGACGGGUGAGUAACGCGUGAGAAUCUGCCCUCAGGAGGGGGAUAACGGUUGGAAACGACCGCUAAUACCCCAUAUGCCUACUGGUGAAAUGAAUUUCGCCUGAGGAUGAGCUCGCGUCUGAUUAGCUAGUUGGUGAGGUAAUGGCUCACCAAGGCUUCGAUCAGUAGCUGGUCUGAGAGGAUGAUCAGCCACACUGGGACUGAGACACGGCCCAGACUCCUACGGGAGGCAGCAGUGGGGAAUUUUCCGCAAUGGGCGAAAGCCUGACGGAGCAACGCCGCGUGAGGGAAGAAGGCCUCUGGGCUGUAAACCUCUUUUCUCAAGGAAGAAGAUAUGACGGUACUUGAGGAAUAAGCCACGGCUAAUUCCGUGCCAGCAGCCGCGGUAAUACGGGAGUGGCAAGCGUUAUCCGGAAUUAUUGGGCGUAAAGCGUCCGCAGGCGGCUUUUCAAGUCUGCUGUUAAAGCGUGGAGCUUAACUCCAUCAUGGCAGUGGAAACUGAAAGGCUUGAGUAUGGUAGGGGCAGAGGGAAUUCCCGGUGUAGCGGUGAAAUGCGUAGAUAUCGGGAAGAACACCAGUGGCGAAGGCGCUCUGCUGGGCCAUUACUGACGCUCAUGGACGAAAGCCAGGGGAGCGAAAGGGAUUAGAUACCCCUGUAGUCCUGGCCGUAAACGAUGAACACUAGGUGUCGGGGGAAUCGACCCCUUCGGUGUCGUAGCUAACGCGUUAAGUGUUCCGCCUGGGGAGUACGCACGCAAGUGUGAAACUCAAAGGAAUUGACAGGGGCCCGCACAAGCGGUGGAGUAUGUGGUUUAAUUCGAUGCAACGCGAAGAACCUUACCAGGGUUUGACAUCCUGCGAACCUCUUAGAAAUUUGAGGGUGCCUUCGGGAAUGCAGUGACAGGUGGUGCAUGGCUGUCGUCAGCUCGUGUCGUGAGAUGUUGGGUUAAGUCCCGCAACGAGCGCAACCCACGUUUUUAGUUGCCAGCAUUUAGUUGGGCACUCUAGAAAGACCGCCGGUGAUAAACCGGAGGAAGGUGUGGAUGACGUCAAGUCAUCAUGCCCCUUACACCCUGGGCUACACACGUACUACAAUGCUACGGACAAAGGGCAGCAAACUCGCGAGAGCUAGCAAAUCCCAUAAACCGUGGCUCAGUUCAGAUCGUAGGCUGCAACUCGCCUACGUGAAGUAGGAAUCGCUAGUAAUCGCAGGUCAGCAUACUGCGGUGAAUACGUUCCCGGGCCUUGUACACACCGCCCGUCACACCAUGGAAGUUGGCCAUGCCCGAAGUCGUUACUCCAACCCUUGUGGAGGAGGAUGCCGAAGGUGGGGCUAAUGACUGGGGUGAAGUCAUAACAAGGUAGCCGUA
Molecule: ribosomal RNA, 1449 nt
Filed under: uncultured bacterium
Lineage: Bacteria
Description: bacterial SSU rRNA
Rfam family: Bacterial small subunit ribosomal RNA
Source: RNAcentral